GAGGAGCAUGUGGAGGACGAGAGGAGGUGGUUGAGGAGGACCUCCUCCUCCUCCCCUUCCUCCUCAUCCUCCUCCCCUUCUCAUGGGGAGCUCUCCUGACUUGCACGAGCUCAUACUCACCCUCGCCGUCGGCCGGUCUGCACGUGGUUCAUGAAACACAAGACUUGUAUUGUAGUGCUUUAUCGAAUCAAGUGCCUAUUGGUGACAAUGCAAAUGCUUUCGUUUGGUAUCGGUUUAAGUAGGAAUUAAGUUCAAGUACGCAAUAAGAUCGCUUGCGCUGGCUUUGUUUCUCUGGCAUAUCUGCUACGUGUGAAAAACCAGGAGGCACUGAACAAGACCCGCACUUUCAGAAAUACUCCGAAUGCCUUUGAACCGAGUACAAAAAGAGUAGCUAUCGGCUUCGACGGCUGAUCUCUAAAUAAAGCGACUUCCAAUCACUACUGCUAAUAAUAUUAAUAAUAGUAAUACUAAUCUCAUAUUCAGGACGCGUUCAGGAGGCUUUGAAUAAAAAAGAAGCAAAAUUAGGCCUUCAAGUUGUCCCCCGUGAUUUCAAAAAGAACUUGACCCCCGGCCCCCAAGUGGACAAGAGCACCGGCGAGUGGAUUCAACUUGACGACAGAAUCUUAUAACACACAGACAACGAACGCAACCACGUCAAAGAAGAGCCAGUGGUUACCAAACCUUUCCCGAGAAAGAAAGAAAAGCCAUUCAAAACCUCCACUCGACGUCAAGUGUCACAACCGAAAGUAAAAAAAAAAAAAAAAAAAAAAAAAAAAAAAAAAUAAACGGUAUAGGACGCGUUCAUAACGUCCCACCACGAAACGGAUAACGGAUAUCACAAAGAGCGGUCUCAUGCAAGCGAACGUAAAACUAAGAGAGCGCAGCUGUCUUAAUUGGCCAGGGUGUCAUAUUUACAUUUCCGACCACACUGGAUAUCAUGUAGUCGCUACGAUGAAUCGGUUGAACAUCUAAAAAAAGCCGAGCUCCCCUCGAAGACUAAUGGAACAUCUGCCUCUCAUUCAGAAUUGCAAAUAAAAUUUACUACAAGUCUAGAAACUAAUUUACCAAGAACAUUUUUCAAUAAGACUGUCCACAUGGAUCUACUUCAUAGAACGAGUGACAUGAAGGAAAACGCUGAAUUACUGUAAUCUAGCAAGCAAUAAUAAAAAGCACAAAAAUACAAACAGCUACAAAAUAAGAGCUACAGGAUAUUACAUAACCAGCAAAUAAAAGUCAAACGAUGCGCUGAACAGAAAAGUUAUUAAAACUUUACAUAUGAAUUCAGUUGAAAUAAAUAUCGGGAAUUCGAGAGAGAAAUCUAUUCAGGCAUCCAUAGAAUUACUUUGUUUGAAAACUAAAAAUUUGAAAUCAAAACCGAAAACUGAUAUAAAAAGUGAAAACUAACACAGGCACUGGUUUUAGGAACAUAUCUAUCGUAAAACAAAUAAAAAAGUGAGUGUAUAAUAAUUUACGAAAAAGGAAAAUACUUAUAAUAAGCAAGAGUAAAUAUAAAGAAAAGUUGAUGCAGAAAUACGAAAGAGGAAUACUGCAUACGUAAUAGGAAAAAUAUAUAUGACGAAAAGUGAAAUCAAAUAAGUGCAGAUAAAUAAAACGCUUAGGACAUUUAAACGAAUAAAAGCAUAAAAAUAUUCAUUCAGAAAGCAAGCAAAAUACCCAGACAAGAUGGCAGGUGUUUUGGGUACCUUCAUGAGGCACUCCAGGGCCAGGUCGGAGCUUCAGAGAAAGAGGGAGGCACUGAAGGCUGAAAGAGAGGCUCGAAGUAAGAGCGGCUCGGCUGAUGUGGUGGCCAAGAGCCAGUCG
This is a long non-coding RNA of Macrobrachium nipponense, 1821 nucleotides long. RefSeq lists it as uncharacterized. The transcript has 3 exons. Lineage: Eukaryota; Metazoa; Arthropoda; Malacostraca; Decapoda; Palaemonidae. The record is from RefSeq and is a predicted model, not a curated record.